UAGCGGCGAGCGAAGCGGGAAGAGCUCAAAUUUAUAAUCUGGCACCUUCGGUGUCCGAGUUGUAAUCUCUAGAAGUGUUUUCCGCGUUGGACCGCACACAAGUCUGUUGGAAUACAGCGGCAUAGUGGUGAAACCCCCGUAUAUGGUGCGGACGCCCAGCGCUUUGUGAUACACUUUCAAUGAGUCGAGUUGUUUGGGAAUGCAGCUCAAAUUGGGUGGUAAAUUCCAUCUAAAGCUAAAUAUUGGCGAGAGACCGAUAGCGAACAAGUACCGUGAGGGAAAGAUGAAAAGCACUUUGGAAAGAGAGUUAACAGUACGUGAAAUUGUUGGAAGGGAAACGCUUGAAGUCAGACUUGCUUGCCGGAGCUUGCUUCGGUUUGCAGGCCAGCAUCAGUUUUCCGGGGUGGAUAAUGACGGUUUGAAGGUAGCAGUCUCGGCUGUGUUAUAGCUUUCCGUUGGAUACAUCCUGGGGGACUGAGGAACGCAGCGUGCUUUUUGCGAAAGACUCGUCUUUUUCACGCUUAGGAUGCUGGUGGAAUGGCUUUAAACGACCCGUCUUAA
RNAcentral lists this ribosomal RNA (561 nucleotides) under Rhodotorula glutinis. Its description in RNAcentral is "eukaryotic LSU rRNA". It matches the Rfam family "Eukaryotic large subunit ribosomal RNA", at positions 84 to 657 of the family's 3401-position model. Lineage: Eukaryota; Fungi; Basidiomycota; Microbotryomycetes; Sporidiobolales; Sporidiobolaceae. The record is from RNAcentral.